AACGAACGCUGGCGGCAUGCCUAACACAUGCAAGUCGAACGAGACCUUCGGGUCUAGUGGCGCACGGGUGCGUCACGCGUGGGAACCUGCCCUUAGGUUCGGAAUAACUCCCCGACAGGGGUGCUAAUACCGGAUAAUGUCUUCGGACCAAAGAUUUAUCGCCUUUGGAUGGGCCGGCGUUGGAUUAGCUAGUUGGUAGGGUAAAAGCCUACCAAGGCGACGAUCCAUAGCUGGUCUGAGAGGAUGAUCAGCCACACUGGGACUGAGACACGGCCCAGACUACUACGGGAGGCAGCAGUGGGGAAUAUUGGACAAUGGGCGAAAGCCUGAUCCAGCAAUGCCGCGUGAGUGAUGAAGGCCUGAGGGUUGUAAAGCUCUUUUACCCGGGAUGAUAAUGACAGUACCGGGAGAAUAAGCUCCGGCUAACUCCGUG
This 433-nucleotide ribosomal RNA is filed under the name uncultured bacterium. RNAcentral's name for it is "partial 16S ribosomal RNA". It matches the Rfam family "Bacterial small subunit ribosomal RNA", at positions 29 to 507 of the family's 1533-position model. The record is from RNAcentral.